This 67-nucleotide transfer RNA is filed under the name Megabeleses sp. Its description in RNAcentral is "tRNA-Arg". The record is from RNAcentral. Lineage: Eukaryota; Metazoa; Arthropoda; Insecta; Hymenoptera; Tenthredinidae.
AAGUUUGAAACAAAAAAUUGUAAUCAGUUUCGACCUGAUAUUUAAGUUAAAUUUUAACUCUAACUUA